This 75-nucleotide transfer RNA is filed under the name Cordylochernes scorpioides. RNAcentral describes it as "tRNA-Gly". Lineage: Eukaryota; Metazoa; Arthropoda; Arachnida; Pseudoscorpiones; Chernetidae. The record is from RNAcentral.
GCUUUUGGUUCAGUGGUACUCGUAGAAUGCUUGCCUGCCACGCGGGCGCCCCGGGUUCGAUUCCCGGCCAAUGCA